GGCUGGUCUGAUGAUAGUGGGUUAUCAGAACAUAUUAACACUAAUGUCACUGAAGUCAGUAUAUAAUCCCAUCACUGAUCAAUUUGAUUGGCCUAAA
Molecule: Y RNA, 97 nt
Organism: Callithrix jacchus (white-tufted-ear marmoset)
Lineage: Eukaryota; Metazoa; Chordata; Mammalia; Primates; Cebidae
Rfam family: Y RNA
About the family: Y RNAs are components of the Ro ribonucleoprotein particle (Ro RNP), in association with Ro60 and La proteins. The Y RNAs and Ro60 and La proteins are well conserved, but the function of the Ro RNP is not known. In humans the RNA component can be one of four small RNAs -- hY1, hY3, hY4 and hY5.
Source: Ensembl